This 497-nucleotide ribosomal RNA is filed under the name uncultured bacterium. Its description in RNAcentral is "partial 16S ribosomal RNA". It matches the Rfam family "Bacterial small subunit ribosomal RNA", at positions 28 to 507 of the family's 1533-position model. The record is from RNAcentral.
GACGAACGCUGGCGGCGUGCCUAAUACAUGCAAGUUGAGCGCUGAAGGUUGGUACUUGUACCAACUGGAUGAGCAGCGAACGGGUGAGUAACGCGUGGGGAAUCUGCCUUUGAGCGGGGGACAACAUUUGGAAACGAAUGCUAAUACCGCAUAAAAACUUUAAACACAAGUUUUAAGUUUGAAAGAUGCAAUUGCAUCACUCAAAGAUGAUCCCGCGUUGUAUUAGCUAGUUGGUGAGGUAAAGGCUCACCAAGGCGAUGAUACAUAGCCGACCUGAGAGGGUGAUCGGCCACAUUGGGACUGAGACACGGCCCAAACUCCUACGGGAGGCAGCAGUAGGGUAUCUUCGGCAAUGGACGAAAGUCUGACCGAGCAACGCCGCGUGAGUGAAGAAGGUUUUCGGAUCGUAAAACUCUGUUGGUAGAGAAGAACGUUGGUGAGAGUGGAAAGCUCAUCAAGUGACGGUAACUACCCAGAAAGGGACGGCUAACUACGUG